GGAUCAUUACAGGACUCGCAAGACUCCUACAACCCUGUGAACUCACUAUAACCACGUUGCUUCGGCGGGUGUCGCGGCGGGGGUCCCCCCCACCGCGGCGCGCAGCCCGCCGGCAGCCUACCAUACUCUGUCUCUUUGCGUUGGCAUCUCGAGGAAAAGCAAACAAGUUAAAACUUUCAACAACGGAUCUCUUGGUUCUGGCAUCGAUGAAGAACGCAGCGAAAUGCGAUAAGUAAUGCGAAUUGCAGAAUUCCGUGAGUCAUCGAAUCUUUGAACGCACAUUGCGCCCGCCAGCAUUCUGGCGGGCAUGCCUGUUCGAGCGUCAUUUCAACCCUCAGGCCCUGCCUGGCGUUGGAGGACUGCGCACCGCAGCCUCCCAAAGCGAGCGGCGGCGGCGCCCCGAAACCGAACGCAGUAGUUACCUCUCGUUCUGGGUCCGGGUCGUUGUCCUGCCGGAAAACCCCCAUCUUUACAAUGGUUGACCUCGAAUCAGGUAGGAAUACCCGCUGAACUUAAGCAUAUCAAUAAGCGGAGGA
This 536-nucleotide ribosomal RNA is filed under the name uncultured Chaetosphaeria. RNAcentral's name for it is "eukaryotic LSU rRNA". The stretch from base 172 to 325 matches the Rfam family "5.8S ribosomal RNA". Lineage: Eukaryota; Fungi; Ascomycota; Sordariomycetes; Chaetosphaeriales; Chaetosphaeriaceae. The record is from RNAcentral.